GAUGAACGCUGGCGGCGUGCCUAAUACAUGCAAGUCGAGCGAACGGACGAGAAGCUUGCUUCUCUGAUGUUAGCGGCGGACGGGUGAGUAACACGUGGAUAACCUACCUAUAAGACUGGGAUAACUUCGGGAAACCGUAGCUAAUACCGGAUAAUAUUUUGAACCGCAUGGUUCAAAAGUGAAAGACGGUCUUGCUGUCACUUAUAGAUGGAUCCGCGCUGCAGUAGCUAGUUGGUAAGGUAACGGCUUACCAAGGCAACGAUGCAUAGGCGACCUGAGAGGGUGGCCGGCCACACUGGACCUGCGCCGCGGCCCAGACUCCUACGGGAGGCAGCGGUAGGGAAUCUUCCGCAAUGGGCGAGAGCCUGACGGAGCACCGCCGCGCGGGUUAUGAAGGUCUUCGGAUCGUAGAACUCUGUUAUUAGUGAAGAACAUAUGUGCAGGUAACUGUGCACAUCUUGACGGUACCUAAUCAGAAAGCCACGGCUAACUACGUG
Molecule: ribosomal RNA, 497 nt
Filed under: uncultured bacterium
Lineage: Bacteria
Description: partial 16S ribosomal RNA
Rfam family: Bacterial small subunit ribosomal RNA
Source: RNAcentral